AUACGGAGGGUGCGAGCGUUAAUCGGAAUUACUGGGCGUAAAGCGUACGUAGGCGGUUGGUUAAGUUAGAUGUGAAAGCCCCGGGCUUAACCUGGGAACUGCAUUUAAAACUGGCGAACUAGAGUUGCGUAGAGGGGAGUGGAAUUUCAGGUGUAGCGGUGAAAUGCGUAGAGAUCUGAAGGAACACCAGUGGCGAAGGCGACUCCCUGGACUCGAACUGACGCUGAGGUACGAAAGCGUGGGUAGCAAACGGGAUUAGAUACCCUAGUAGUCC
Molecule: ribosomal RNA, 274 nt
Filed under: uncultured bacterium
Lineage: Bacteria
Description: partial 16S ribosomal RNA
Rfam family: Bacterial small subunit ribosomal RNA
Source: RNAcentral